Actinia tenebrosa (Australian red waratah sea anemone) is the source of this 644-nucleotide long non-coding RNA. Lineage: Eukaryota; Metazoa; Cnidaria; Anthozoa; Actiniaria; Actiniidae. The record is from RefSeq and is a predicted model, not a curated record.
CUAAAAUUAAAAAUAUAAAUAAACCUAAGUUUAGAUAAGUUUUCUUCAAUAGGCGCUGUUCUUUGUACGGAUAACAUUUAGUUGAAACCAAGUUACAGCCAAUCAUCCGACUGAAAGUACGCAAUGAAGUCUCUGGUCAUUGUAUUCCUUUUCAUGGUUGUCAUGAAUGAAGUGAUGUUCUCUUCUUGCAAGAAUAUCAUCUUGAGUGAAAAUGAAGGAAAGAGUUUUCAAUCUGACCCCGAAAGUCAAGCGAUGAGUCACGAAGUCGUGAAGGAUGGAUGGGAGCUCGUGAGGGAUAAAGGUCACGAAGUCGUGAAUGAUGGAUGGGAGCUCGUGAGGAAUAAAGGUCACGAAGUGGUGAUGGAUGGAUGGGAGCUCGUGAGGCAGGAUAGUAGAGGUCACGAAGUCGUGAGGGAUGGAAGUCCGUGAAACUGGGGACCAACGAAGUAAUGUCCAGUGGAUAAAAGACAACUGUUAGCCUAAUUACUUCCAGUUAGUUCUUGAUAAGACCUGAUGAGCACAAGAAUAAUUAACGGGCUGUAACUAGUUAAUAUUGGUCUUUACUAAAAGCUAAUAAUAUUGUAAUGUAAUAUUGAAUUGUGCAAGUGAAAGUCAGGAAUAAAGGCAAUGAUCUUAACAAACCA